AUGGGCGCAGCCUGAUGGAGCACACCGCGUGAGUGAAGAAGGGUUUCGGCUCGUAAAGCUCUGUUGUUAAAGAAGAACACGUAUGAGAGUAACUGUUCAUACGUUGACGGUAUUUAACCAGAAAGUCACGGCUAACUACGUGCCAGCAGCCGCGGUAAUACGUAGGUGGCAAGCGUUAUCCGGAUUUAUUGGGCGUAAAGAGAGUGCAGGCGGUUUUCUAAGUCUGAUGUGAAAGCCUUCGGCUUAACCGGAGAAGUGCAUCGGAAACUGGAUAACUUGAGUGCAGAAGAGGGUAGUGGAACUCCAUGUGUAGCGGUGGAAUGCGUAGAUAUAUGGAAGAACACCAGUGGCGAAGGCGGCUACCUGGUCUGCAACUGACGCUGAGACUCGAAAGCAUGGGUAGCGAACAGGAUUAGAUACCCUGGUAGUCCAUGCCGUAAACGAUGAGUGCUAGGUGUUGGAGGGUUUCCGCCCUUCAGUGCCGGAGCUAACGCAUUAAGCACUCCGCCUGGGGAGUACGACCGCAAGGUUGAAAUCA
RNAcentral lists this ribosomal RNA (538 nucleotides) under Limosilactobacillus fermentum. Its description in RNAcentral is "bacterial SSU rRNA". It matches the Rfam family "Bacterial small subunit ribosomal RNA", at positions 371 to 903 of the family's 1533-position model. Lineage: Bacteria; Bacillati; Bacillota; Bacilli; Lactobacillales; Lactobacillaceae. The record is from RNAcentral.